UCACUAUGCUGCAUCUGAGUCGACUCCCUC
Molecule: non-coding RNA, 30 nt
Filed under: Rattus norvegicus (Norway rat)
Lineage: Eukaryota; Metazoa; Chordata; Mammalia; Rodentia; Muridae
Source: RNAcentral